RNAcentral lists this ribosomal RNA (460 nucleotides) under uncultured bacterium. Its description in RNAcentral is "partial 16S ribosomal RNA". It matches the Rfam family "Bacterial small subunit ribosomal RNA", at positions 338 to 795 of the family's 1533-position model. The record is from RNAcentral.
CCUACGGGUGGCAGCAGUGAGGAAUAUUGGUGAAUGGACGAGAGUCUGAACCAGCCAAGUAGCGUGAAGGAUGACUGCCCUAUGGGUUGUAAACUUCUUUUAUAUGGGAAUAAAAUGUUCCACGUGUGGGAUUUUGUAUGUACCAUAUGAAUAAGGAUCGGCUAACUCCGUGCCAGCAGCCGCAGUAAUACGGAGGAUCCAAGCGUUAUCCGGAUUUAUUGGGUUUAAAGGGAGCGUAGGUGGAUUGUUAAGUCAGUUGUGAAAGUUUGCGGCUCAACCGUAAAAUUGCAGUUGAAACUGGCAGUCUUGAGUACAGUAGAGGUGGGCGGAAUUCGUGGUGUAGCGGUGAAAUGCUUAGAUAUCACGAAGAACUCCGAUUGCGAAGGCAGUUCACUGGACUGCAACUGACACUGAGGCUCGAAAGUGUGGGUAUCAAACAGGAUUAGAUACCCCUGUAGUC